Non-coding RNA from Theobroma cacao (cacao), 1024 nucleotides. The record is from RefSeq and is a predicted model, not a curated record. Lineage: Eukaryota; Viridiplantae; Streptophyta; Magnoliopsida; Malvales; Malvaceae.
GUAAGUUGUAAAAGUUAUGUUGAGAGUGGGAUUUGAACCCACGCCCUUUCGGACCAGAACCUUAAUCUGGCGCCUUAGACCAACUCGGCCAUCUCAACUUGUUUGCAAAGCAUCUUGCUUUUUAUUUGCGCGAGUUACGAUGUUCGCUUUUCUUUUUGGGUGAGGGGAAUGUUAAAUGCAGUAGUGCGGCUAAGCCUUUGGAAUUCUCCCAUAAAUUUCCACCAUCAUAAGGAAAGAUUCAGCGCCAGAUUCAAAUAAUGUGCCUAGAAUUCACAAAUUCAUACUCCAUUUUUCAAACUAGAAAUUAAACUCUUUGGUACAGUUACGUCGUUGGUGCAGGCCCCAAUAUAAUAAAUGUGAAGCCGUCCCCAAGUCUCUUCUAACAAGAUCUAAUCCCUGUCCCCAAGGCCAUGCCCUUGCUCCCGUGCAAUUGCAAAUAGCACUGUCAGGUGAUGGUCUCUCCCAAGUCCUACCUUACCAGAAUCAAAGGAUGAUAUGAGCCAUAAUGCUGUUUUAUUAGUUAUGCACAUCAGUUUCUCUUGCCAUCCAAAAACAGCUGUGUCCAUGUCCAUGUAUAUAUGGGGGUGAAAGGGAGGGAGAGAAAAAGAAGAGUACUCAAGAGUAGAUGCCUGCUUUUCCCUAUAGUAGGUGGCACCAAAGCCUCAGCCUAGAGGCCAACAGCUGGUAGCGACUAAAUAUUCUCUGCAAUCUUGGACAGGAAGAAUAUCAUUCGAAUUCCUAUUUAUUUAUUGUUUUAGGGGUGACAGGUGAGAGGUGUUGGGUGUUGUUGCCUACUAAGACUAUAAAAUCGCAGGUAAAACCAGAGAAUUAGUCAAAGCGUGACAGACGGAGCAGCGAAACAGUUAAAAAUUCAGAAUGGAUGUGAUGAGCAACGUGCCUGCUUGAACAAAGGCGCGUGGGGUCUGGACCUGGGAUUAAUAUUUCAUGAGCUUAAUUUUCUCUUUUGGAAACUUUGAAGCUAUAGUACGUAGUAUUAAGUUUCUUAUUGCAUUUUCUUUUUCCA